Molecule: long non-coding RNA, 1114 nt
Organism: Salvia miltiorrhiza (redroot sage)
Lineage: Eukaryota; Viridiplantae; Streptophyta; Magnoliopsida; Lamiales; Lamiaceae
Exons: 6
Source: RefSeq, a predicted model, not a curated record
UAACCUGUGUUCCUAGCAGCGGGGCAACACCAUACCUUGUCCUUUCAAGCAACCCCAAAAGUCAGUUUUAGCCAUGCCUUUGCAGGCAUGUCAAAUCCCCAUCUUAGUGCCACAUCUAGAUACACUUUGAAGCCAUAUCUAUCACCUUAGCAUUUCUUUACAACUUUCAGCAUCUCCCAUCUCUCUCCCAAGCGUUCUGCCAACUACACCUCCUGAUUCACGAAGGUCCAGUAUACAACAGCUAACCAAGCCAAACAUUUGCCAAGUUCAUCAAACCAAAGGCUUCGUCUACAAACCCCUCUGCCCAUUUUAUCUCUAUUCACGGCAUCGUGGAUCGGAAGGAUUAAGAUUGCUAUUUCGAUUCAAAGUUAAGUUUAAACGACAGGCUUUGCCUAUGCAGAAGUAUCACAUUAAUUGAGUGAACUAGUGCAAAGCUUUUACAGAGAAUUAUGACAUGAUAGUGGCUUGACUAGUGCAAAGUUUUUGCUGAAGUAUCACAUGAAUUGGCGUGACUAGUGCAAAGCUUUUACAGAGGUGAUAUUUUUGGGCACAACAACUGGCGCCUUCUUUCGAAAGUCGAUACCCGAGCUAGACGUUUGACGAUUUUCCACCGUUGCUAUUACUUUUUUCCGACGAAUAGCACCAACCAAAGCCAUUGAGAAGGAGAACGACAACCUCAAUGUCAACCGCAACCUCAAUGCAGAUUUCAACGAAGAAAAUGUUAUCCCCAAUCAAAUAAUUCUACUGAUGCCAUGUCGCAAACCCUCGGUCUUUUACUUAUGAAGAAACUCAUGAAUAUGGCAGGGACAUCAAAUACCCUGUUCACUACACUAGAAGCACAGAUCAACUCCCCAGGGAAGGAUUUCCAAAUGCAGCAAACCAACGAAGGAGCCAAAAGAACCAAAUCCACCCUCACUGGACGAACUAAGGACGGAGGACAUCCCGCCAUGCAGGACGACCUUAUUAACAAAGAUGAAGUCGAUUAGUGGGAUCGAGUGUUAAUAGAGGAUGAGGGAGAAUUUGUUGGAUUUGUAUACUGAAAGCAAGAACUUUUAUGCUUGUAUACAAUGAUUCCUGAGUUCACUAUCUAAUCUCCUAUUUGAAUUGUUCAUAA